Molecule: ribosomal RNA, 261 nt
Filed under: Triticum aestivum (bread wheat)
Lineage: Eukaryota; Viridiplantae; Streptophyta; Magnoliopsida; Poales; Poaceae
Description: partial small subunit ribosomal RNA
Source: RNAcentral
AUGCCAAUGUCGGCAUGUACGCCACCGGCUCCGUCUGUUCCUGAGGUCUGCGACGCCUCUUCUGUCUCCUUCUUUGAUGCGGAAGCCCCUCCGCCCGCCAUCUCCCCCUACCGCAUCUCAUCCGGUGCCGACAUCGGCAAGUAUGUCACCGGCAUCGUCCGCCCCCUGAUUCAGCAAUGGCUCUCAUGCAGCAGCGCCGGCGCCCACCAGCUUCACCUCCUUCCCAUCGACGCGCUCCAUGUCCGUCUAAUUCGAGUAUGA